CAAUAGCGUAUAUUAAAGUUGUUGCGGUUAAAAGCUCGUAGUUGGAUUUCUGCUGAGGACGACCGGUCCGCCUCUGGGUGAGUAUCUGGCUUGGCCUUGGCAUCUUCUUGGAGAACGUAGCUGCACUUGACUGUGUGGUGCGGUAUCCAGGACUUUUACUUUUGAGGAAAUUAGAGUGUUUCAAGCAGGCACACGCCUUGAAUACAUUAGCAUGGAAUAAUAAGAUAGGACCUUGGUUCUAUUUUGUUGGUUUCUAGAGCUGAGGUAAUGAUUAAUAGGGAUAGUUGGGGGUAUUCGUAUUCAAUUGUCAGAGGGUGAAAAUUCUUGGAUUUAUGGAAGACGAACUACUGCGAAAGCAUUUACCAAGGAUGUUUUUUCAUUAAUCAAGAACGAAAGUUAGGGGAUCGAAGACGAUUAGAU
RNAcentral lists this ribosomal RNA (420 nucleotides) under uncultured eukaryote. Its description in RNAcentral is "SSU rRNA". It matches the Rfam family "Eukaryotic small subunit ribosomal RNA", at positions 592 to 1013 of the family's 1831-position model. The record is from RNAcentral.